GAUGAACGCUAGCUACAGGCUUAACACAUGCAAGUCGAGGGGAAACGACAUCGAAAGCUUGCUUUUGAUGGGCGUCGACCGGCGCACGGGUGAGUAACGCGUAUCCAACCUGCCCACCACUUGGGGAUAACCUUGCGAAAGUAAGACUAAUACCCAAUGAUAUCCCACGAAGACAUCUGAAUGGGAUUAAAGAUUUAUCGGUGAUGGAUGGGGAUGCGUCUGAUUAGCUUGUUGGCGGGGUAACGGCCCACCAAGGCAACGAUCAGUAGGGGUUCUGAGAGGAAGGUCCCCCACAUUGGAACUGAGACACGGUCCAAACUCCUACGGGAGGCAGCAGUGAGGAAUAUUGGUCAAUGGGCGAGAGCCUGAACCAGCCAAGUAGCGUGCAGGAAGACGGCCCUAUGGGUUGUAAACUGCUUUUAUAAGGGAAUAAAGUGGGUCACGUGUGACUUUUUGCAUGUACCUUAUGAAUAAAGACCGGCUAAUUCCGU
This 491-nucleotide ribosomal RNA is filed under the name uncultured bacterium. RNAcentral's name for it is "partial 16S ribosomal RNA". It matches the Rfam family "Bacterial small subunit ribosomal RNA", at positions 28 to 506 of the family's 1533-position model. The record is from RNAcentral.